UUAUUAUUAAUAUCUAUUAAUAGAACUAUGGAAAUGAACAGUGUUUGUUUUCAUGGUUUGUUCUGAUUGGACUAUUUUGUGGUCAUCCCCACUUCAGACACGUGUGUUCCACAUCUAUACCUUACCCUAAAGAGGAAAAUGUACACCUCAGAAGAGGAGAACGAGAUGAGUGAGAAUGGUGGGUGGGUGCAGAUUUUAGAGAGAGGAAGAGAUGGGAGCAACUUCCUCCGCCACCACGGCGGCCAGUUUGUUGUUCGGUAAUCCUGCAGAGUGGAGGAUGCGGUGUGUAGGUUGAGAGAGAAAGCUGGGAGGAGUGGUGUCAUCCCUGGUGGUGGGGCCUUGACGGCGGCCAGGUGCAUGUCGGCGCCUGGUUCUCUCUUCCGCCCCCUCUCUCUCUCAUGUCGCCGCCUCCUGAGGUCUUCUCUUUCAGUCUCUCUCUCUCUCUCUCUCACCACCUACUGUGUUUACCAGAGGCUGUUACCGACCACUCGCCUUCCUCCGGUCGUUGACGGUGUAUAGUGGCGGGCAGGGGUAUUUUUGUCAUUUGCUGACACCUUAGAAGGCCAUAUGACCUGUGGUCUGCUUGCCAACCACCGCUCCUGGUUGGAGCACGAUGGCAACGGUUUUGUGUGUCAAUAUCAUUCAAGUGUUUUACCUCUUUGUGGUUAAUUUUCUUAUGGGUUUUGGUUUCUUGGCUGUGAUCUAGAUGUGAGCCUACUUAAUUGAUGUGUUUUUAGCAGUUUUGUGAUCUAAUUACGGUAUUUUGCUACAGUUUUGUUGGUUGGCUGUGGCAAUCGAUGGUUUUGUCACGCAGCUAUGAUGAUCUCAAAAGUCUUUUACCAAUUGAUUUUGGCAUGGCAAUGAUGGCGGAUGGUAGGGUUUGACCUGCAACCCACCUUGCAGCCAUGAUUUCUGGUAGAUCUGAGCCACAUCGUUUUGUUGUACUUUUCGAGUCUUCUUUCUUGAAGCCAUCUUCAUCACUGUGGUAAAACCCUAACCGCCGUCACCAUCGGUUUCUGCUGAUAACACCUGAAACGGCAAACCCUGGCCACCACUUGUGGUGCGACUGUUGACUAUCGUUGUGGUGACUGAAACCCCAUUCGUCUGCAUGUGUGCUUUUUCAAUAAUUGAGGUAAAACCCAUCUACCCUACCACUGAUCUCAUCUUCUCUCACAACAUCUAUGCCUCUGUUUCUGCUCUGGAGAUGUCUGGUGGCCUAAUAGGAGAUGAACAGUUGUAUUGUCUGCUAAAAUAGAAAAAGGUUGAUUUAAGGUUUUGGAGCUGGCUGGAAAUGCAGCAAGAGACAACAAGAAAACAAAAUCAUUCCGAGACGUGUUUUUAUGGCUUCCAGGUAGUCCUUUUAUCGUUGCAUCGUAGUUAUUUUUCCAUGUGUAACCUAUAAAUUUUCACCUUUACUUUGUGUUUUUAGCAGUUAGAAUGUAGAAUAAGAAUCAAUUGGUUGUGUAAAUCGUUCACCAAGAUUUGUAAACUAUUUGUUUCUGGUUCGUUUUACAACAAGAUCUCAAUUUAAUUGCACUAAUGCAUUGAUGCAUCAUGUUCCUUGAUAAGACAACAAGGGACAAUUUAAGUACUCAUUUGAUUAUUAUUGUUUUGCAAGUCCUGUCAAGCCCUUCAAAGAUGAUUCGGGGUUUGUUUUGGCCUUGAUUAGGAUAGAAAAUAACUUAUUGCCCAUGUUAUUUUACUAUUAUAUAGUGAUUCAGAUGUGGAACCUGUUAUGUUUAAAAUGGUAUUAUUUUAUUUUUAUGUAAUGAUGCACCUGUGCAUAAUAAUCAUAAAUCAUUUUGGAUAACUUUCCAUUUGGAAUUGUCUCAUAUUCCAUAACAUAGGCAAUCCCAUCUUUAACUAGAAGUAAACUUUCCGAAUAACUCAUAAGGAACUGACAGUGGUUUCUGACCCGUAAUCAGCGACGACGUUCCUUCCUCCGCUAAGAUCCGUUGCCUAGCAGUUUCCGGUAAUAAUUUCUAGAGUUGAAAUGUUCGUAUAUGUAGAAAAUAGUUGUGAAGAGUACUUUGGAAUGGGAUUGUAUAACUUAGUUUGUUGAAAUGUUUAUAUAUGUAGAAAUUUGGCGUAGUGGGAUUGUAUAACAUGGUUUGUAUAGCUUAUAGGUAAACUAAUAAAUCCCUUAUGUACUAAUGUGCAUUUUUUUUCAGCUUGCAAAGCUAGGGUAUCAUAUCUCAAGUUCAGUUUUAAGGUUUCUUGAUGGUUAUUUUGACUAUUUUUUCAUAUAAUGAAUACAGUAUACCUUAUAUUAAAUCACAACUCCAAAGCCACGGUUUUGUUUGUUACCUAUGUGUAUUAGCCACGCCAGUUUUUACUUUUUUUUCACUUUGGCCACCUUAGGAAGCUUCUAUCUUUUUACUUGAUGAAUAAGAGAGACAACAAAGAGAAAGGCAGACCUUAAUGAGGGACUCAGACGACAUAAAAAAUGUUAGGACGAAGCUUUCCCUGGUGGUAUCGGUUGGAGUGUACAGGCAGUGGUGGUGCAGAUGCAGCUCCGAUGAAUUGUGGUGUUGAAACAAGGUCAAAACAAAACAAAACAAACAGAAGGCGAUAAUGGUGACAGAGUGACAAAGUUUUGGAAUCACAGCCGUGAACUUAGCUGGCUUGGGUUUUUAUCGGAAAUCCGGUGACCCCUUCGAGCUGUGUGUUUCAUUUCAAAGCUAGGAACUACGAGAUACAUGUAAAUCCAAUUACCUAUCUCACGCCACCUCUGGUACAACUUCAAGUCAAUAUAUAGGUUAUUAUUAAUGAAAAGAGAACAGUUGACAUCCUUUUGGUUAACACUGAACUGUGACCAAAUUAGGCUGCCCUGCCUCUCGAUAUUCUUGACCCCCUCCACAAGGUCAAAACUAGUUCUCGAUAUUAGGUAACGGUCUGACGAUCUAAGAGAGUAGGAAUGAGGCUAUAUCUGAUUAUUAAUUACGAAAUUGGUGGCUCAACUUCUGACUCGCUAGGCAUUUAGCUGAUUCACUGACUCAGCUCGGAAUUGCUUCCAAACAUUACAAAUGGGAGUAGAAACAUAAGACAUAAAAAAGCGAUGGUCUUUAGUAGAUAAACAUAUUUACGGAUGUGAAACUGAAUGAAAUGGUGGAGUGGGCUUUGUAACUUAAAACUUCUGAGUAUAGUGUAAUGUUUCUUUGUUGUAAUCAUCUUCUCCAUUCCAUUGUUGAAGCUUUGUUUUCUCAAGUAAACGUUAAUGCUAUUGGUUCUCCUUUAAUUUUUGUUUUUCAA
Molecule: long non-coding RNA, 3252 nt
Organism: Helianthus annuus (common sunflower)
Lineage: Eukaryota; Viridiplantae; Streptophyta; Magnoliopsida; Asterales; Asteraceae
Exons: 4
Source: RefSeq, a predicted model, not a curated record